AGCACCACCAAAUAAUGCAAACCUGCAUCAACCAAAGAUGAUGAGCAAUUGCUCAUACAUACCAAUGACAGGCAUUAAAUGCAACAAAGUAAAACUAAAGAAAACAAAACUUCAAGCCAAUAUGUCACUUAAGGAAGAUGAACAGGGAGGCAAAAUGGCCUUAGCCAUUCAUAGUCCAUACUGAGUAGCAUUUAGCUUGGUCAUAUUAAUGCAUUUGCCAAUCUUGGAUCAAGUUUGAGUUAAGCUAAAUAGAAGCUACUUAAUUUUGGCUCAAAUGACAGCUUAAGAAAAAUUAAGUUGCUAAACAAGGCACACAAUUGGCAUCUCCUCUGUUUUCAUUGGAGAGAUGGCUCAUCUGUAUUAUUGGUUUUAUGACCUGACACUCUUUUGCAGAUUACUGACCACAUUGCCUUGUUUGAACGUGUCACUGACUUUUGUAUAAAUAGGAUUCAACUUUAUAAAGUCAUCAAAUAAGGUAUUGAUUUGAAGUUUGAAAAUUUGAAAAAUUGAAAAGCUUGAAAAAUAUUUCCUUCACAACUUAACACUCUCCCUAAGAUCAGUGUCGUUGUUGCAAAGUUCACCCAUGUUUUAAGCAGCCACCAAUUUGUUGAACAUUGUCACUUUGGUCUUGAAUUUUUAGGACUGAAGAAAAAGGAAAAGCCAGUUUUAUACAAACAGCUGCUCAUGAAAAGUUGUUCAUGUGCAGUCAUGGACAUGAAGCACAACCAAAAACUUUGUUUUCAUUUUAGAAGAUAGACACAAGAUUAAGCAGUCAACAGAUCCUCACAAGAUUAAGCAGUCAACAUAUACUCAAAUUAUUAUCUACAAGAAGGAAUCAGAA
Molecule: unclassified non-coding RNA, 841 nt
Filed under: Hevea brasiliensis (rubber tree)
Lineage: Eukaryota; Viridiplantae; Streptophyta; Magnoliopsida; Malpighiales; Euphorbiaceae
Source: RNAcentral